This 464-nucleotide ribosomal RNA is filed under the name Vreelandella stevensii. RNAcentral's name for it is "partial 16S ribosomal RNA". It matches the Rfam family "Bacterial small subunit ribosomal RNA", at positions 338 to 795 of the family's 1533-position model. The record is from RNAcentral. Lineage: Bacteria; Pseudomonadati; Pseudomonadota; Gammaproteobacteria; Oceanospirillales; Halomonadaceae.
CCUAGGGAGGCAGCAGUGGGGAAUAUUGGACAAUGGGGGGAACCCUGAUCCAGCCAUGCCGCGUGUGUGAAGAAGGCCCUCGGGUUGUAAAGCACUUUCAGUGAGGAAGAACGCCUGGUGGUUAAUACCCAUCAGGAAAGACAUCACUCACAGAAGAAGCACCGGCUAACUCCGUGCCAGCAGCCGCGGUAAUACGGAGGGUGCGAGAGUUAAUCGGAAUUACUGGGCGUAAAGCGCGCGUAGGUGGCUUGAUAAGCCGGUUGUGAAAGCCCCGGGCUCAACCUGGGAACGGCAUCCGGAACUGUCAAGCUAGAGUGCAGGAGAGGAAGGUAGAAUUCCCGGUGUAGCGGUGAAAUGCGUAGAGAUCGGGAGGAAUACCAGUGGCGAAGGCGGCCUUCUGGACUGACACUGACACUGAGGUGCGAAAGCGUGGGUAGCAAACAGGAUUAGAUACCCUUGUAGUC